Molecule: long non-coding RNA, 2229 nt
Organism: Oncorhynchus keta (chum salmon)
Lineage: Eukaryota; Metazoa; Chordata; Actinopteri; Salmoniformes; Salmonidae
Exons: 3
Source: RefSeq, a predicted model, not a curated record
ACAGGUGAUGAGUGAGACCAGGUGAACAGAGCUGAGGAACUGAUACAUAUAGGGGAGGUAAUAACAGGUGAUGAGUGAGACCAGGUGAACAGAGCUGAGGAACUGAUACAUAUAGGGGAGGUAAUAACAGGUGAUGAGUGAGACCAGGUGAACAGAGCUGAGGAACUGAUACAUAUAGGGGAGGUAAUAACAGGUGAUGAGUGAGACCAGGUGAACAGAGCAGGGAACUGAUACAUAUAGGGGAGGUAAUAACAGGUGAUGAGUGAGACCAGGUGAACAGAGCUGAGGAACUGAUACAUAUAGGGGAGGUAAUAACAGGUGAUGAGUGAGACCAGGUGAACAGAGCUGAGGAACUGAUACAUAUAGGGGAGGUAAUAACAGGUGAUGAGUGAGACCAGGUGAACAGAGCAGGGAACUGAUACAUAUAGGGGAGGUAAUAACAGGUGAUGAGUGAGACCAGGUGAACAGAGCUGAGGAACUGAUACAUAUAGGGGAGGUAAUAACAGGUGAUGAGUGAGACCAGGUGAACAGAGCAGGGAACUGAUACAUAUAGGGGAGGUAAUAACAGGUGAUGAGUGAGACCAGGUGAACAGAGCUGAGGAACUGAUACAUAUAGGGGAGGUAAUAACAGGUGAUGAGUGAGACCAGGUGAACAGAGCAGGGAACUGAUACAUAUAGGGGAGGUAAUAACAGGUGAUGAGUGAGACCAGGUGAACAGAGCUGAGGAACUGAUACAUAUAGGGGAGGUAAUAACAGGUGAUGAGUGAGACCAGGUGAACAGAGCAGGGAACUGAUACAUAUAGGGGAGGUAAUAACAGGUGAUGAGUGAGACCAGGUGAACAGAGCAGGGAACUGAUACAUAUAGGGGAGGUAAUAACAGGUGAUGAGUGAGACCAGGUGAACAGAGCUGAGGAACUGAUACAUAUAGGGGAGGUAAUAACAGGUGAUGAGUGAGACCAGGUGAACAGAGCUGAGGAACUGAUACAUAUAGGGGAGGUAAUAACAGGUGAUGAGUGAGACCAGGUGAACAGAGCUGAGGAACUGAUACAUAUAGGGGAGGUAAUAACAGGUGAUGAGUGAGACCAGGUGAACAGAGCUGAGGAACUGAUACAUAUAGGGGAGGUAAUAACAGGUGAUGAGUGAGACCAGGUGAACAGAGCAGGGAACUGAUACAUAUAGGGGAGGUAAUAACAGGUGAUGAGUGAGACCAGGUGAACAGAGCUGAGGAACUGAUACAUAUAGGGGAGGUAAUAACAGGUGAUGAGUGAGACCAGGUGAACAGAGCAGGGAACUGAUACAUAUAGGGGAGGUAAUAACAGGUGAUGAGUGAGACCAGGUGAACAGAGCUGAGGAACUGAUACAUAUAGGGGAGGUAAUAACAGGUGAUGAGUGAGACCAGGUGAACAGAGCAGGGAACUGAUACAUAUAGGGGAGGUAAUAACAGGUGAUGAGUGAGACCAGGUGAACAGAGCUGAGGAACUGAUACAUAUAGGGGAGGUAAUAACAGGUGAUGAGUGAGACCAGGUGAACAGAGCUGAGGAACUGAUACAUAUAGGGGAGGUAAUAACAGGUGAUGAGUGAGACCAGGUGAACAGAGCUGAGGAACUGAUACAUAUAGGGGAGGUAAUAACAGGUGAUGAGUGAGACCAGGUGAACAGAGCUGAGGAACUGAUACAUAUAGGGGAGGUAAUAACAGGUGAUGAGUGAGACCAGGUGAACAGAGCAGGGAACUGAUACAUAUAGGGGAGGUAAUAACAGGUGAUGAGUGAGACCAGGUGAACAGAGCAGGGAACUGAUACAUAUAGGGGAGGUAAUAACAGGUGAUGAGUGAGACCAGGUGAACAGAGCAGGGAACUGAUACAUAUAGGGGAGGUAAUAACAGGUGAUGAGUGAGACCAGGUGAACAGAGCAGGGAACUGAUACAUAUAGGGGAGGUAAUAACAGGUGAUGAGUGAGACCAGGUGAACAGAGCUGAGGAACUGAUACAUAUAGGGGAGGUAAUAACAGGUGAUGAGUGAGACCAGGUGAACAGAGCUGAGGAACUGAUACAUAUAGGGGAGGUAAUAACAGGUGAUGAGUGAGACCAGGUGAACAGAGCUGAGGAACUGAUACAUAUAGGGGAGGUAAUAACAGGUGAUGAGUGAGACCAGGUGAACAGAGCUGAGGAACUGAUACAUAUAGGGGAGGUAAUAACAGGUGAUGAGUGAGACCAGGUGAACAGAGCUGAGG